AGCCCGGUGGUGUAGUGGUCUAGCAUAGCACGGACGUUGUGGCCAGAUUUCCAAUGCGUCCCUAGUAGGCUCUGGACCUGCUGACGGGAGUUCGAAUCUCCCCCGGGCUA
This 110-nucleotide transfer RNA is filed under the name Candidatus Bathyarchaeota archaeon. RNAcentral describes it as "tRNA-Gln". It matches the Rfam family "tRNA". Rfam says of the family: Transfer RNA (tRNA) molecules are approximately 80 nucleotides in length. Their secondary structure includes four short double-helical elements and three loops (D, anti-codon, and T loops). Further hydrogen bonds mediate the characteristic L-shaped molecular structure. tRNAs have two regions of fundamental functional importance: the anti-codon, which is responsible for specific mRNA codon recognition, and the 3' end, to which the tRNAs corresponding amino acid is attached (by aminoacyl-tRNA synthetases). tRNAs cope with the degeneracy of the genetic code in two manners: having more than one tRNA (with a specific anti-codon) for a particular amino acid; and 'wobble' base-pairing, i.e. permitting non-standard base-pairing at the 3rd anti-codon position. Lineage: Archaea; Thermoproteati; Candidatus Bathyarchaeota. The record is from RNAcentral.